This 369-nucleotide ribosomal RNA is filed under the name uncultured phototrophic eukaryote. Its description in RNAcentral is "SSU rRNA". It matches the Rfam family "Bacterial small subunit ribosomal RNA", at positions 524 to 896 of the family's 1533-position model. The record is from RNAcentral.
UACGGGGGAUGCAAGCGUUAUCCGGAAUCAUUGGGCGUAAAGCGCCUGUAGGUUGUUUAAUAAGUCUGUUGUUAAAGACUAGGGCUUAACCCUAGAAAAGCAAUGGAAACUACUAGACUGGAGUAUGGCAGGGGUAGAGGGAAUUUCUAGUGUAGCGGUGAAAUGCGUAGAUAUUAGAAAGAACACCGGUGGCGAAAGCGCUCUACUGGACCAUUACUGACACUCAGAGGCGAAAGCUAGGGGAGCAAAAGGGAUUAGAUACCCCUGUAGUCCUAGCCGUAAACGAUGGAUACUAGAUGUUGGAUUAUAUAGACAGUAUCGUAGCUAACGCGUUAAGUAUCCCGCCUGGGGAGUACGCUCGCAAGGGUG